RNAcentral lists this ribosomal RNA (301 nucleotides) under uncultured bacterium. Its description in RNAcentral is "partial 16S ribosomal RNA". It matches the Rfam family "Bacterial small subunit ribosomal RNA", at positions 509 to 809 of the family's 1533-position model. The record is from RNAcentral.
CAGCAGCCACGGUAAUACGAAGGGGGCUAGCGUAGUUCGGAAUCACUGGGCGUAAAGGGUGCGUAGGCGGAUUUUUAAGUCAGGGGUGAAAUCCCGAGGCUCAACCUCGGAACUGCCUUUGAUACUGGGGAUCUUGAGUCCGGAAGAGGUGAGUGGAACUGCGAGUGUAGAGGUGAAAUUCGUAGAUAUUCGCAAGAACACCGGUGGCGAAGGCGGCUCACUGGUCCGGAACUGACGCUGAGGCACGAAAGCGUGGGGAGCAAACAGGAUUAGAUACCCCCGUAGUCCCUGUCUCUUAUAA